UUGGCCUUGCUCAUUAGCCCAAAGAGAGAAGACCCUCCUUUUGAAGAAGAUGAUACAUACCUGCUAGUCAAAUGCAGUGCAGUAAUUUUAAUAUUGAUAACAAAAAAGCUAAAUAUAGUUUAUUCAGUAUUAAAAUCCCCAUUACUCAGUGUUGAAGAAGUCAUGGUUCCUGGGGAGAAGUUGGCCACAGAGAAAAUGCAACCUUCUUUGCUGGAAGCCGAUGAUUUGGAAAGUGAGAUGCUGCAACUGGGAGAGAUAAGGAGGAGGCGUAUGAUCCGACGGGCUACAUGGAGGCGUGCGAAGCGUUACAGGUGGUGCCUGCCUAUAACUUCCUGAGGAACAUGCACAAUAGCGAGCUAUCCAUGAUGCAUCGCUGUCUGGGGCCUCAGACUGAUAUGCUUCUGGUGGGGGAAACUUCUGUGUAGCAAUACAGGCGGAGUCACCUACUCAAAGGAGACACGGGGAGAGCUGGAGCUUUGAUGUCAAACACUGAUGGGUUUAUUUGGAGCUUCGGCCGGAGAA
Molecule: long non-coding RNA, 522 nt
Organism: Notothenia coriiceps (black rockcod)
Lineage: Eukaryota; Metazoa; Chordata; Actinopteri; Perciformes; Nototheniidae
Exons: 3
Source: RefSeq, a predicted model, not a curated record